CGGCAGGGCACUCGCGCCUCCCUCCUCCCCGCGCGUCGUCCCCCGCCCUCGCCCGCUCCUGUCCGACGACGCCCGCGUCACUCCCCCCAACCGCCGCGCCCCUGGUGGGCGCGGGCCAUCCACUUAUGGCGGGCACUUUGCCGAUGCCUGCCGGUGAGACCCCGCAGGAAGGCGGGGACUGCCGUCAAGUCAGCAUGGCCUUUGCGGGCAGGUCUGCCACACGUUAUACAAUGCCUGGUCCAAAGGGAAGCGAGACUGUAAAGUGGAGCAAAUCCCCUAAAGCCAGGCCCAGUUCAGAUUGUCGUCUGCAACUNGACGGCAUGAAGCUGGAAUCGCUAGUAAUGGCGCAUCAGCUACGGCGCCGUGAAUACGUUCCCAGGCCUUGUACACACCGCCCGUCACAUCAUGAAAGCCGGUUGUACCCGAAGUCAAUGUGCUAACCGCAAGGAGGCAGUUGCCGAAGGUAUGGCUGGUGAUUGGGAUGAAGUCGUAACAAGGUA
Molecule: ribosomal RNA, 500 nt
Filed under: uncultured Verrucomicrobiota bacterium
Lineage: Bacteria; Pseudomonadati; Verrucomicrobiota
Description: bacterial SSU rRNA
Rfam family: Bacterial small subunit ribosomal RNA
Source: RNAcentral